GUUGGUGUUGAUGACGCAGGGGGUCCACCCGUUCCCAUACCGAACACGGAAGUUAAGCCCUGUAGUGCCGAAAAUAGUAGUCUGGCGACGGGCUGUGAAAAUAGGAAGAUGCCAACA
This 117-nucleotide ribosomal RNA is filed under the name Ruminococcus sp. The record is from RNAcentral. RNAcentral also lists the same sequence under 1 other name. Lineage: Bacteria; Bacillati; Bacillota; Clostridia; Eubacteriales; Oscillospiraceae.